AUGACAAAAGAUCUCGGCGGCCUUGGGAUCCGAAACCUUCGGCUGCUCAACAUAGCCUUGCAUGCUAGAUUGUCGUGGUUGCAGCCCACGGUGGCUGAGAAGCCAUGGGGAGAGUUCAAAAUCCAGGUGCCUGCAGAAUCUCUCACGAUCUUCAAUGCCGCCACUAUAUCCAUCAUUGGGGACGGUAGACCUGCGCUCUUCUGGAGUGAUUGGUGGCUACUAGCAGGCCGCAUCUACGAUAUCGCACCAUGCUUAUUCACCUAAAUUCAGGCUAGGGUAGCUCAAUCCCGCAUGGUGAGACAAGGGCUACGAGGAGACUGGUGGAGGGAUGUUAGAUCUCAGUGCAGAUACACUUUGGGAGUUUCUUCAAAUGACGGACUGGAGGGCCGUCAUUCCGCUUGA
This 402-nucleotide ribosomal RNA is filed under the name Triticum aestivum (bread wheat). RNAcentral's name for it is "partial small subunit ribosomal RNA". The record is from RNAcentral. Lineage: Eukaryota; Viridiplantae; Streptophyta; Magnoliopsida; Poales; Poaceae.